AAUGCAUGUACUAAUUAUGCAUAGAUGGAAAUGCUAAGUAGAGAGCAUAAUGAGCAUAGCAUGUAUAUAAUGCUAGUUGAAGUAGAGAAUCCAAAGUAGCAUCAUGAAAGCUAAGUAAGUGACAUGAUAACUCUAGUGUAAAUAGAGUUGAUUGGACAACUAGGUUGUCGGAUAGAUCGAGUGGCAUCUAACCUAGUGUUAAAGAACAUAGGUUGAUUAGUAAACCUAGAGUCGAACAAUCUAGGUGUGUGGCAUUUAACCUAGUGUCAGUAAACCCAGGUUGAACUAGUAAACCUAGAAAUGGACAUCUAGGCAAAGAUGAUAAGAACCUAGCAAGUGUAUCUAGGUUAAGUGAUGUGGACAUAGAACCUAGAGUGUUGGAACCUAGGUUGAUGAGUAUAGUGAUAUAGCCACUAGAUUGAGCUAGGUCGACAGUAUAGGGUUGGCUAUGAACCCUCGACCUGUGGUAAGUGGAUUUCGGAAUCCCAGGACUUUGCUAUGUUCCUUGUACGGGAUUCGCCGCCGCGCUUUGUACCGAGGUUAGAUUGGGGGCGAUCACAUGAAGAUCACCGCCCGGGGCUUGAACCAUUGUCAUGGCUUUUGUGCGACGAUUUCGCCGCCGAAUGGUUAAGCCGUUUGAGGAUCAGACCGCCAGAGUAGACUGAAUCCAUGCUGGAUAAGUACGAUGCGGGUGCCUCCAGGUGACUGAGUCUGACAUGACCGUUGUUGGGUGUGGUGCGACCCGUUCGCCACCAGACGGUAUGUCAUGUCUCGAGCUCACGCUGGGUAAGUGCAACGCGAUCGCCACCGAUGGUCAAGUCUUGUGACUCGAGCCGUGUUCAGCGUGUGCGACGAUUUCGCCGCUAGGAGGCUGAGUCAGAGAGAGUGCGGUAGGCUGUUGAGCAGCCAGUGCGCGGACUAUCCGCGGAUGAUUGACUCGAAGCCGAGUCAGGUGGUUAGCUAUGAUAGGGUACAGGAACCCUUAUGAGCUAGAGAUAGAGGCUUGAGCUAAGGUAAAUAGAAACCUUAGAAGUUAGUAGUUGGUGUUGUGAUCCUAAGGUAAUAGAAACCUUAGAGUAAAAUUAUGAGCUAAAGCAGUCAAGUAAAAGUAGAAUUAAAAUGAUAUACUAGAUGUUGCAUGUUGUUCAUAUCGCAUAUCGUGAGGCAUGGCAUGUAUUUCAAUUGAAUAUAUAUAUCUGUUGUAUAUUGUUGAACUAACAUGUUGCAGUGCCUCCUCGGACCUAUCGGUCGAGCUUUUCCCUUGGGUGGCCGUACCCACUAGAAACCAUGGAGUUGGUUCUCACCCCACGUUGUUUUGGGGUUUUCAGGUCGUUCGUGUGCGGCGCUGCGGCGCGAGGCGAGGGCGUAGCUCAGUAGAUAGCGCCCCACCACAGAGACCGAGGUAGCAGUACCCUGAGACAACCUAGCUUAGGGGUCUAGAAGACAAGAAAAGAAAAUGUAUCAAACUCUGAUGUAAUAGCAAGAUUAUAAUUUGGAAGUAAAAAUGUAAACAGAAACUGUGAUGUAUAACGUGAUUGUGAAAUGAAUGCUUGUAAUAGCAAGUAGAUUAUGUAUUUGAUACUUCCAUAUGCAAUCUGGAUUGAUAUCCGUUCCUUGUUGGAACAUUCGUUGAUUGUUUGGAUUGCGACGCCUUGGACGUACUGGGGAGACUCUGUCCGCGUACAAAGAAAUCCCCGGUCCGUUCGGCGGUCUGUCGUCGGCGCCGCGACCCGGUCCAAAUAGGCGGUUGGUCGCGGGGCGUGACAGAUAAGAUGGUAUCAGAGCAUAAAGUAGAAAAUGGAAAAAAUAGUUUAGACAGACCUAGGAGACCCUAGGAUAGCAAACCAUAGGAGAUUAAGGCUCGUAAGAGACGAGGACUUAUUUCUUUUGGCGAAAGGUUAAUCGAUUGGGUUGUGUCACAACCUCUAAGACGGAUAUUAGAGGUAGACUCAAGGUAUGGUUUAUUCUCGACCAAGUGUGUUUAUGUUUGGCGCGCACAACAUAAAGCCGAGUGACGAGAAUAGACGUCCUUGUUUUACUUUCGCCUGAUUGGCUUUUGAGCCGGUGUUAGUGGUCUCGUGUUCGACCCGGAGGGUCGAGGACUAAUCGAGUUGUCGUGUUUCAGGAAACGAUGGCACCGCGUAGGCGAUCUUCGUCCAGAUCGGCGCGGGAGGGGACAAGUGGCGUCCCCGAGCAAAUCAACGCGAGUGGAGACUCGGAGCUUCGCGAUCAGUUGGCCACACUCAUUGGAGUGAUGCGGCAACAAGCUGAUGUGGUGCAGCGGCAGCAGGAGGCUGCUAUGCGCCAACAGGAGCGAAUGGAACGACUCCAAGAGACUGUGGAUCGGCUGGUGGCAGCACCAGCUGCGGUUGGUCGAGGACAGCCGGGAGUUGCGGCGGAGCUGUUUCCGUCGGGGUCGGGCGAUCCGACUCCUGUUGGCCCAGAGGUUGCGGCGGAAAGGGAGCGAGCUUUAGCAGCCCUCAUGACUUUCAAGAAGUUUGAUCCGCCUACCUUUGAUGGUGAAGAUGCAGAUCCGUGGGUCGUUGAGAUGUGGAUCGAUUCCAUGAAAACACUCUUUGAGGAUCUGUACACGCUGGAGCGAGACAAAGUGAAUCUAGCCGCGCAUUACCUGAAACAAUCAGCGAAGGUGUGGUGGAAAGGCGUCAAGCGAGAUCGACCGCCUAGUCUCCCUCCUAUAACUUGGGAAGAGUUUCGGGGAAUGUUGUUCUCUGCUUAUUUCCCCGAUAGCGAGAAGCGGAAACUUCAGGAGAGGUUUCUUAAGCUGCGGCAGGGAAGUCGCACGGUCAGGCAAUACGAGCGAGAAUUUUCCCGUAUUGUGCAUUGUGUCCCAAACGUGGUGCGGGAUGACAAGGACAAGGCCGACUGCUUUGUGCGUGGACUUCGGCCAGACCUGUACCAGACGGUGCUUGUGCUAAAGUUGCAGACUUUUGCUGAAGUCCUGGAUCGGGCCUUGUGGAUAGAACAAGGCAAUGCUUUCCUGCGGGAGAAGCGUGAGGAGCAUUACAAGGAAAAGGGAAAAGAACGGCCGGUGAGUGGACACGAUGGUCAGUCAAGUUCCAAACGGACCUCAGUGAGGACGCGCUCUCGAUCUAGAGCUCCGGGGACGUAUCACAUUCGGUCCUCGGCGAGAUGUGCAAUUUGUGGAGGCCCUCAUUUUCCACAGCAAUGCGAACAACGAGAGGGCAAGUGCUUCAAGUGUGGGCUGCCGGGCCAUGUGCGGGACGAGUGUCCACAGGGUGAUAACCGGGCCUUGACACUGGCGAUGGCCCAUUCCUCCUUGGGACAGCCGGCGGGUGUGCCACCUGCGGCAUGGUCGGGGGAGCGGCCGUUGAGAGUGAUGCAACCAGAGGGUUCGCGACGGGCGCCAAGUGGCCAUGGAUAAGCGACCCGAGCUGUGGUGCCUGCCGUUGCUGACGACGUUGUGGCAGGUAUGAGUUAAUUGAGCAAGCAUAUACUUUUACAUGAUCUCAAGUUGAUGCAUAGUAUGCAUUUAUCAUAUGGUCAGUUGCUACUAUUUAUACAUUGCAUAGUAGGGACCGAAUAGUCGGAUAAGUAGACACCCGUACAUGCUUGCGUUGUGAGAAGUGGCACCUGCUGGUGCAAGCCGAACGCCAAGUGGUGCUGGCAAAUGGCUAGUGGUGAUGUUGGACAGGAAACGAGGCUCGCAAUGGAAACCGAGUGAUGAAAGGACUCUCAAAGUGAUGGGUUAGAGAUUUACAGAGUCGGGCUUUGAUGUUUGGGAACGCGCGAAUAUCCCAAAAGUAUUUCGGAUGUGGAUUCGGUAAAUCGAACGGUGGAGAUGAACCACUGUCGCUAAAUUGGCUGGUUAGUGCCGAGUUUGGCCUGUUGGCCUAGUAGUACCUCGAGUUGAGGUGGAUGAGUUAUGCCUGUGUGGUAGGUGUGCAUAGGCUAAGUUGCCUAAUGCUAGGCUUCGUGUGAGACGCUGUAGAGGCUUAAAGCGCUCGAGUAUAGAUACUCGUAGAGUACGGUUUCGAUUCAGCCGGUCGAGUGAAUUGGCAGUAGCACUUCAGCAGGGCUAAGUGUGAAGCGGGCCAUAGAUCACUCGUGAGGGCUGAUGGCUCGCACUAGGUGCCUAGGAGCCGAUAGAGUGUGUAGCUCUGUAGAGCAUGUCGUGUAGGACGACGUUGGCGGGUAGUGCUUGGGGACGACCCGUGCCUGGACCAUCUGUGGACUAUGGAGCCUGGGCCCAUUGGGCAGGCGCAGUCAACUGUGAGAGACAGCGGCCCGAUACCUAUAGGUAGGGCGGAGAGUUUUGGUCAGGACGGUAGUCCGAGCUGAGACCCGAGUACGUGGAAUGCCACGUGAUAGAUCAUGAGAUUGAUGACGCACCGAGUGUGUGGUGACCCAACCCAAGGAUUAGAUGUGGAUUGGGAUCUUGAUAGCUCCUGGUUGGAGUGUGUGCGAGUUCUCCAAUGAGAAUGUCGCCCAAUGAUGAUUAGGUCUACGCUUGCGAGCGAGAGACGCUAGGCGUCGUUGAGACGAGUUUAGUCGGUAGGCCUACGUAAGGUGGGUGACUGUUGGUCCACCCGUAGAGAUUGAUGGUCGAUGCGACCAAUGACCCUGUGAAUGAGCUUAGACUUCAGUUGCGAACGAAGGGUUCGUGCAAAUUCACCGCCGGAGUAGAGUGGCGUUGAUCGUGGCUUAUGGUUUUAAAGGAUAAAGAGAAUCGAAGUGCUCUUAUAAGGCCUCGAGUUAAUGAAAGCCACGUGAGAAUUGGAGUUGAUACGCUCAAGUUAGUGGAAACAAGUGGAUGAUACUCUCAGGGGAGUUGAGGUUGAGACAUGCCGAAGUGUGCCAUCUCGUGAUAGGGCAAAGAUUCGAUUGAGAUUGAAGCACUCGCGAUUGGCCGAAGCACCGAUGAUAUGGUUGAUAUGCAAUGCCGGUGGUCGGAAUCGGAGUGGAAAGGUAUGAUGGUACCCUCAAUAACUCGGUAGGCCAAGUUGAUGUGGUUUGAAUUUCGCGGACGAAAUUCUUUUAAGGUGGGGAGAAUGUAACCCCCGAGGUUUCGGAAGAAAUUAUCGAACUUUAGCCAAACCGACUACAAUAUGCGAAGAAGAUGGAUGGACAUGUUUCCGUUGGUAUUCCAACAUGAUUGGAAGGGUAAAAGUGAGUUCCAAAGGAGUUGGAAGGAUCUUAACAUCGUACGGCGUGAAAUAGAGCUGAAAAGAAGUGAAAACAGCAUUCUGCAGGUGCUGUACCGGUACAAGCAUGAUGGCUGUACCGGUACAACCAUCACGGAACAGUGCUACGGCGCUGUACCGGUACAAGGGGGCCUUGUACCGGUACAAAACCCGCGAAACCAAGCAAGCCAGCUCUCGGUUUUGGUUGUCUGUCAGGCCUUGUACCGGUACAAGAGCCCGUGUACCGGUACAAGGGACCCAGAACAGUGGGUUAAGUUGGAAAAACGAAAAAUAUUGAGGGGCUAGGUGGAUAUUGUUACAAUACACUAUUAGAGAGUGUUUUAUCUCACUCUCUCUCACUCCCACAGCUCCCUCCAUCUCUCUCUGUUCGUGACCAAGGGGAGAACCGAAGGGAGAAGAAAAGAAGGAAGGAAAGCAAGGAAAGGAAAAGAGAGAAAGAAAGAGAGGAAGAAAAAGAGAAAAGCAAGGAGAAGAAGAAGAAGAUCUUCAUCUUCAUCCUCAUCUUCAUCUUCUUCCUCAUUUUGGAGCUUUUGAGAGGUAAGCUUCUUGCUCCCUCUAAUGGUGAAUUUUGGUAGAAUGGGUUUUAAACCCUAGAACCCAGAGUUUUGAAGCUUCUAACUUAUUUAGAACCUUGUGGAGAGCUAGAACACCAUGAAAUCCAUGGUUGUCUCAUGAAGCUCUAAUGGUGGAAUUCUAGGGUUUGCUUUAAACACCCUAGAAAUGGUUUGAAUGCUCCUAGUUGAGCUCCUAGAUGAUAAACAAGCUUUCUUUUGCUUGUUUUAUAGAUCAAAUCCGAGGUAUUAAGCCUAUGUUGCAUUGGGGCAUCUCAAAUGGGAAUUUUGCUAAUGUGGGGUUUUGAUCUAUUUUGAGUGCUUGGAAACCUAAUUGCUAGGUCAAGAAACGCGUGGGCGAAGACGGAUUGAGCAUUCGUCGAGCCGUUUUAAAGUUAUUAAAGAAAUAAGCCUUGAGGCUUCAUUCUUGCCUGUAGGUCCGAGACGGCAUCGUAUUGUCGUGGGAACGGACGUGUGGCAUCGUGGCGCAUAACCGAAGACCUAUAAUUUCCGGAUUUGUAAAGCGGAACACGGUUGAGGCGCAAGAGCUUGUCGGGCCCAAAGGGUGCCGAGUGCCGCGGGAGGCCGAUUGCAAGUGUCGACAAGCAAUCGGAACGCGAGUUAAGGUGGGUUGUGCUUACCGAAGCGACUAGGUCGCCCUUUAUGUCUUAGCAAUGUAAUCUCACGUUGAUGCAUGUGCAUGUAGACAAGGCUAAAUGAUGCAUUAGUAAAUAUGCAUAGAGUAAAUGCAAGCAAAAUAAAGAAUGCAUGAUGAGCAUGAUAAAUAAAUAAUGCAAGCAAGUAAUUGGAAUGCAUGAUGAUAAUAAUGCAUAGUGUAAAUGUAUGUUAAAUAAUGAUGCAUAGAGCCAUGCUAGUAAAUGUUAAGUAGAGAGCAUGAUUAAUAUAAGAUGCAAAUGCUAAAUGGAAAGCAUGCUAAGUAAUUGAUGCUAGUUGAUGUAAAGAAUGCAUGUACUAAUUAUGCAUAGAUGGAAAUGCUAAGUAGAGAGCAUAAUGAGCAUAGCAUGUAUAUAAUGCUAGUUAAAGUAGAGAAUGCAAAGUAGCAUCAUGAGAGCUAAGUAAGUGACAUGAUAACUCUAGUGUAAAUAGAGUUGAUUGGACAACUAGGUUGUCGGAUAGAUCGAGUGGCAUCUAACCUAGUGUUAAAGAACAUAGGUUGAUUAGUAAACCUAGAGUUGAACAAUCCAGGUGUGUGGCAUUUAACCUAGGUUGAUGAGUAUAGUGGUAUAGCCACUAGAUUGAGCUAGGUCGACAGUAUAGGGUUGGCUAUGAACCCUCGACCUGUGGUAAGUGGAUUCCGGAAUCCCAGGACUUUGCUAUGUUCCUUGUACGGGCUAGGGCGUUCGUGCGACGACUUCGCCGUCGAGCUUUGUACCGAGGUUAGAUUGGGGGCGAUCACAUGAAGAUCACCGCCCGGGGCUUGAACCAUUGUCGUGGCGUUUGUGCGACGAUUUCGCCGCCGGAUGGUUAAGCCGUUUGAGGAUCAGACCGCCAGAGUAGACUGAAUCCAUGCUGGGUAAGUACGAUGCGGGUGCCUCCAGGUGACUGAGUCUGACAUGACCGUUGUUGGGUGUGGUGCGACCCGUUCGCCGCCAGACGGUAUGUCAUGUCUCGAGCUCACGCUGGGUAAGUGCAACGCGAUCGCCACCGAUGGUCAAGUCUUGUGACUCGAGCCGUGUUCAGCGUGUGCGACGAUUUCGCCGCUAGGAGGCUGAGUCAGAGAGAGUGCGGUAGGCUGUUGAGCAGCCAGUGCGCGGACUAUCCGCGGAUGAUUGACUCGAAGCCGAAUCGGGUGGUUAGCUAUGAUAGGGUAGAGGAACCCUUAUGAGCUAGAAAUAGAGGCUUGAGCUAAGGUAAAUAGAAACCUUAGAAGCUAGUGGUUGGUGUUGUGAUCCUAAGGUAAUAGAAACCUUAGAGUAAAAUUAUGAGCUAAAGCAGUCAAGUAAAAGUAGAAUUAAAAUGAUCUACUAGAUGUUGCAUGUUGUUCAUAUCGCAUAUCGUGAGGCAUGGCAUGUAUUUCAAUUGAAUAUAUAUAUCUGUUGUAUAUUGUU
Molecule: long non-coding RNA, 7803 nt
Filed under: Ananas comosus (pineapple)
Lineage: Eukaryota; Viridiplantae; Streptophyta; Magnoliopsida; Poales; Bromeliaceae
Description: long non-coding RNA (ACOM_LNC036208)
Source: RNAcentral